Molecule: long non-coding RNA, 472 nt
Filed under: Elaeis guineensis (African oil palm)
Lineage: Eukaryota; Viridiplantae; Streptophyta; Magnoliopsida; Arecales; Arecaceae
Description: long non-coding RNA (EGUI_LNC035812)
Source: RNAcentral
AGGGAAGCCACUAAUUCUUUCUACUUCUUUUGAAAACGAGCAAGAAAAAGAAAGGACUAAGUCAAGGGCUAGAGCUAGUUCAGUUCAAGAAAGUGACCCGUGAAUACCAAUCCAGCAUUACUUGAUCAUAGACAUUGGACUAAUAGAAAGGGAGUUGACCUUUGGUACCUCACAUCCUGAUUGUCCUUCUGAGCGAUCACUGGCACCACCUACCUUAUGUUUAUUCCCGAGUCAGCUAUUACCAUAUCUAAUUGCUGGAACCACAAUCCAAUCCUUGAGAAGUCACUCGAUGAGAGGUGCUCUUUGCUUCUUCCUUUUCUCUUGGGUUGGUAAAAGCUAAAUCCGCUGGUUCAGGAAUAGAUGCCGGUGGAAUUGUGCCGUGGGUCAACCUGUGGUGCAUUCCCUACUUCGACGGACCGCACUUCAACCAACAAAAAGGACCCACCUUCUAUUCAAAAGGCGAGCAUCUAGU